UACGGAGGGUGCAAGCGUUAUCCGGAAUCACUGGGUUUAAAGGGUGCGUAGGCGGUCUGUUAAGUCAGUUGUGAAAUUCCCUCGCUUAACGAGUGGGACUGCGAUUGAUACUGAUAGACUUGAAUCAGGUUGAGGUAGGCGGAAUGAGACAUGUAGCGGUGAAAUGCUUAGAUAUGUCUUAGAACACCGAUUGCGAAGGCAGCUUGCUGGACCUGUAUUGACGCUGAGGCACGAAAGCGUGGGGAGCAAACAGGAUUAGAUACCCUGGUAGUCCACGCCCUAAACGAUGUUUACUUGCUGUUCGGCCCUAGAGGCGGAGUGGCGAAGCGAAAGCGAUAAGUAAACCACCUGGGGAGUACGCCCGCAAGGGUG
This 372-nucleotide ribosomal RNA is filed under the name uncultured prokaryote. RNAcentral's name for it is "bacterial SSU rRNA". It matches the Rfam family "Bacterial small subunit ribosomal RNA", at positions 524 to 896 of the family's 1533-position model. The record is from RNAcentral.